Molecule: ribosomal RNA, 465 nt
Filed under: uncultured bacterium
Lineage: Bacteria
Description: partial 16S ribosomal RNA
Rfam family: Bacterial small subunit ribosomal RNA
Source: RNAcentral
CCUACGGGUGGCAGCAGUGGGGAAUAUUGCGCAAUGGGCGAAAGCCUGACGCAGCGACGCCGCGUGAGGGAUGAAGGUCUUCGGAUCGUAAACCUCUGUCAGCAGGGAAGAACGGUCACUGUGCUAAUCAGCAGUGAAUUGACGGUACCUGCAAAGGAAGCACCGGCUAACUCCGUGCCAGCAGCCGCGGUACUACGGAGGGUGCGAGCGUUAAUCGGAAUUACUGGGCGGAAAGCGCUCGUAGGCGGUCUGGCAAGCCAAGGGGGAAAUCCCCGCGCUCACAGUGCGAACUGCCUUUGAAACUGGCAAACUGGAGUGUGUGAGAGGAUAGUGGAAUGCCAGGUGUAGGAGUGAAAUCCGUAGAUAUCUGGAGGAACAUCAGUGGCGAAGGCGACUAUCUGGCACAUAACUGACGCUGAGGAGCGAAAGCGUGGGUAGCAAACAGGAUUAGAUACCCGUGUAGUC